This is a long non-coding RNA of Notolabrus celidotus (New Zealand spotty), 1258 nucleotides long. RefSeq lists it as uncharacterized. The transcript has 3 exons. The record is from RefSeq and is a predicted model, not a curated record. Lineage: Eukaryota; Metazoa; Chordata; Actinopteri; Labriformes; Labridae.
UGACUGCAGGCUGCGUGGCGGCAGAGGCUUUGCAGUGACCUCAGAGGGUACAGUGACACUGGAAGAAACUGCAGGAGAGCCUGCUGAAGUUGAAGGAGCUGGUCCAGGCAAAGAAGGGGGGUCAGAUGAAGAGGGAGAUCAAAUUGUCUGUUCCUGAGGUGUCUGAUAAAAAUAAGAUAAAAGGUCACAUACAUGAUGUUUGUGUGUGUAGGUUUUUCAAUUUGUAAAAGUGUUACUACUUUACUAAAUGUGCUAUGUUAAAUUUUAUCAGUUCAAUAUACCAUUGCAGUUUACCUUUUUAGUGUGAAACACACACGCCUCGACCAAUCAGAAGGCUGUUGCUAUGCGAGUGCCGACAGAAACGAAAUUUGACUGAAAGUUUCGUCAAAGCUAACACGCCGGCACCUUUCACGCAAAGGGCAGUAUGAAGAAGCUGUUCUGUUGGAUUGGCAUCCAAAAAGCAUCGAGCCAUGGGUGACCAUGAGUGGAUGUCCCGGCUGAGGAGGUUUGCCACCACAGGGGUUUGGCCCACGGAUGCUGGGAACAGACCUGCCCCUCGGCAAAAGAAGUGAUUGAAAAUUGUCCGCUCCAGAAUCGGGGUCAGACAUCUUUGUUUGGUCUGCUUGUGUGUUUCACAUUAAAAAGGUAAACUGCAAUGGUAUAUUGAACUGAUACAAUUUGAAAUAGCACAUUUAGUAAAAUAGUAACACAUUUACAAACUGAAAAACCUACACACACAAACAUCGUGUACGUGACUUUUUUUCUUAUUUUUGUCAGACACCUCAAGAACAGACAGAUCUGCCUCUUCAUCUGCCUGUCAUCUGUAAAUAUAUCUUGAUGUUCAUAUGUACAAAGUGUGUGAUUACAGUUUAUUAAACUUAAAGUGUAAGUAAUUUAUCAGCACUGAGUCAACAGACUUUGUAGAAGUAGGAUAUUAAUCCCAAUUAUGCUUACAUUAGUGUUUAAUCUCCUGAAUAUAAAAAUAGUUUAGUUUUUGUGAACUUAUAGUGAGCCUUUUAUAUCUACAAAGGAGUGGGUCCUCUCCCACAGAGGCCACCAUGUAUCUACAGGAGCUCAGAACAUAAAAACAAGCAACAUAAGUGUUUUUGUAAUUCCUUAGUGGCCAAGAAAGCCCAAAAUGCACCAGUUGAAACAAUGUUUUUUUAUCUAUUUAUUUCUUAAUAUAUUUUAUUCAAAGUUUGUAUUUUCUGUUAUCUAAAGUUUGUCAUUUUCCAUAAAGUGUUAGCGUUUGUUGUUU